ACCUUCCCCUAGUUACACCAGCAUCCUGCAAGAGACCCACCACAAAUGCUGAACUCCUGUUUUUCCCUCCCUUUCUUCCAACACAAUGAUCUAAUCCACAGAAGUGCUUCGGAAGCUUCCAUCGAUCGGGGCGCGUGCUACCUACGCUCGGCCUGGUGAUCUUCCUGAUUCUCCAGUUCCUCUGAAGAAUUCAAGGUGAAGACCAUUAGAAAACCAGAGUAAAUAAAGGAAGGAAUUGAAAGCCUGCAAGUAUAAUGUUCAAGGUGACACACAUAUAUUGCUCUGAUUGAUGAGUAGUAGUUCGUUAAGGGUGCUAGAUGCAUGUUGGCUAAUCAUUUCAGAUAUGAUAAGGUUCAUGCAGGGUGUUCAUUGGGUGGAGUAAUUGUUUUCCUUUAUUAAAAGGUUAGCAUACAUCAUCAUGAGCACUGUUUGUGUAGUGAAUACAAAUAGUGUGACCAUCUUAUACAUUGUUUUCAUUGUGCAAUCAAAUUUAAGUCAUGCCUUUCAAACUUGUACAGUAUUAAAUUUCGAUAUGGCAAGCAAGCUUAAUUCCAUAAAGAAGUCAUAUUAUGGAAUGACAUAGAUAUAGUUCAUUUUAUAUUGAACAAAUAGAGAUUUCAAAAGCCAAUCCAGCUUAUACUCAGCAAGAUGAAACAAAAAGCAUGAACAUAAUUUGAAACAUAUAUGCUCUUUAAAUUAGACUGAAGUGGGAUAGAAAGAUUUCAGUAUAAAACUUAAGGUGUUCUUGAACAAGACCGCACCUCAGAUAACACGAUUAGGCAUCGACAAUACUUUUCUGCUAUAUUAAUCUUUUAUUAUCAAUAAGAAUUUCCAGAGAUCCAUGGAAGGUUAGUUAAAAGGCCAUUAAAAAAACUUGUAGUUGACACAUCUCAAGCUAACAUUCUGACUAAAUUUGGUGAAACAGAAAAAAGGAGAAGAGGAACAAGAAAAAGAGCAGUACAUCUCAUGUUUGCACGCUAUAAAAGUUACCUGUUGUGGAUUGGAUCUGGUCCAUUUGGCACCCUCCUCUUCAUGCUGCUGAAAGCAUCACCAGCAUUGAAAUCUUCCAAGCUCCUGUGACUGUGAACUAGUCCUCCAUUGAUCAUCAUCCUUCUACCCCCAACACCAAGAACACUACUCCCCGGAGACGGCGGUUUCGCGCUUGUCUCCACCAACAAUGACACCAAAAUGAGGCCUCCAAAUAGGAUGGCCAAUGUUGUCGCUGAUACCCGCCUCGCUGACCUGGCAAACCUGCUCAUAAUACCCUAAUUUCUAUAUCUUGGGGUAUUGUCACCACCACCACCACCCCUCUAUGAGCAUCUCAUAGAGUGGUGCAAGUGAGGAAAGCCCCCCCUCAAAUGUGAGGCUUCUUCUCUCUUGUCUCAGCACAUUAUAUUGUUGUGGAGGCAGUGGUAUGUGUUUCUUGCUUCUGGUUUUCUUCUCAGCUUCUUUCUUCCUUGAGCUGCUGGCUCUGAUGUGCUUUUGAAGGGCCUAGCUAAUGAAGAGGCAUGGUAGAAAUCAAAGGAGGUGAGGCCAUGCUUGCUUUUGUCCUUUGCUUUUUGAGUUAUGUUGUUUUCCUUCUUUUGUUUCAUUUUUCUUUCUCUUAGAUCUUGAUUGGUAAAAAGAGCCAAUUGGAGUUUUAAGAUGGCAAACCGAAAAUGCUGUCUGAUGGACCAUCAGGGAUUACUUAGUUACCCUUGGAGCAAAACCAAGUUAGAGGAUAAUUUAGUUUACACAAAAGUGUUUAAGGUAAAGUUUGAGUAAAUCUAGGAGGAGGCAUGACACAUGAGAGAUUGCUCUGGUAAAGCAAGGUCCAAAAGCAGAUCCUUCAAAGUGUGAAGCACCCUGAAGAAAUACACACAUCUACCACUUUCAGGUGAUAUGUCACUGUCCUUAUUAUUAGAUUGUGACUACAUGGAUCACACUGUUCUCAUAAGCCCUACAUGGAUUACAUGAUCGUUGCAAGGACAUUUUCAGUCUACUGUUGAAAAUGUACACUAAUUCGACGAUUUUUCGCAUGCAGUAGAACAAAACUUUUGUUAGGAUCUAAACUUGUUCUCUGUGGAUUAGAAACAUGUUUUGAGGUAGC
RNAcentral lists this small RNA (2089 nucleotides) under Oryza sativa Japonica Group (Japanese rice). RNAcentral's name for it is "sRNA Os07g0194351". Lineage: Eukaryota; Viridiplantae; Streptophyta; Magnoliopsida; Poales; Poaceae. The record is from RNAcentral.